AAAAAAAACACACCCCUGUUUUAGUUACAAAGUGCCGUAAGUUACCAAAAAGUAUACAGAUCAUUUGACCAUUAUAAGAAACAACUAUAUUAAGUUUCAUGAAAUUUUGAUAAGUCGUUCUCAAGUUACAGUGCGACAUUUUUACGCCGGACAGACAGACGGACGGACACCGGACAUUUGUAUACCAUAAUACGUCCCGUCAAAAUUUUGACGGGCGUAUAAAAACUGCAAAACGUCCUUGAAAUAAUCAAUUCAGGGA
RNAcentral lists this long non-coding RNA (259 nucleotides) under Mytilus galloprovincialis (Mediterranean mussel). The record is from RNAcentral. Lineage: Eukaryota; Metazoa; Mollusca; Bivalvia; Mytilida; Mytilidae.